AUUGCAUAAUCGAGAACCGGUGUCUGAUCGGCGAGCGUGCUUGUCGUUCUGACUUAAAAGGGAAGAUCGGUGUAAUACCGACGCGGUCCCGCCACUGUAACGGAGGAGCAGGCAGCUCAACCAGCCACUAAUCUACAUUGAUUGGGAAGGCAGCUGCCGAGUGACGAUUCCGGAGCCAGGAGACCUGCCUGUUCUGACAGCACUGC
Molecule: non-coding RNA, 206 nt
Filed under: Paenibacillus sp.
Lineage: Bacteria; Bacillati; Bacillota; Bacilli; Caryophanales; Paenibacillaceae
Also listed under: 1 other name
Source: RNAcentral